GAUGAACGCUGGCGGCGUGCCUAAUACAUGCAAGUCGAGCGAACGGACGAGAAGCUUGCUUCUCUGAUGUUAGCGGCGGACGGGUGAGUAACACGUGGAUAACCUACCUAUAAGACUGGGAUAACUUCGGGAAACCGAAUCUAAUACCGGAUAAUAUUUUGAACCGUAUGGUUCAAAAGUAAAAGACGGUCUUGCUGUCACUUAUAGAUGGAUCCGCGCUGCAUUAGCUAGUUGUUAAGGUAACGGCUUACCAAGGCAACGAUGCAUAGCCGACCUGAGAGGGUGAUAGGCCACACUGGAAGUGAGACACGGUCCAGACUCCUACGGGGGGCAGCAGUAGGGAAUCGUACGCAAUGGGCGAAAGCAUGACGGAGCAACGCCGCGUGAGUGAUGAAGGUCUUCGGAUCGUAAAACUCUGUUAUUAGGGAAGAACAUAUGUGUAAGUAAAUGUGCACAUCGUGACGGUACCUAAUCAGAAAGCCACGGCUAACUACGUG
RNAcentral lists this ribosomal RNA (497 nucleotides) under uncultured bacterium. RNAcentral describes it as "partial 16S ribosomal RNA". It matches the Rfam family "Bacterial small subunit ribosomal RNA", at positions 28 to 507 of the family's 1533-position model. The record is from RNAcentral.